GCGGCGGACGGGUGAGUAACACGUGGGCAACCUGCCCUGCAGACUGGGAUAACUUCGGGAAACCGGAGCUAAUACCGGAUAACACCAAGGACCGCAUGGCCCUUGGUUGAAAGGCGGCUUCGGCUGUCACUGCAGGAUGGGCCCGCGGCGCAUUAGCUAGUUGGUGAGGUAACGGCUCACCAAGGCGACGAUGCGUAGCCGACCUGAGAGGGUGAUCGGCCACACUGGGACUGAGACACGGCCCAGACUCCUACGGGAGGCAGCAGUAGGGAAUCUUCCGCAAUGGACGAAAGUCUGACGGAGCAACGCCGCGUGAGCGAAGAAGGUCUUCGGAUUGUAAAGCUCUGUUGUUAGGGAAGAACAAGUACCGUUCGAAUAGGGCGGUACCUUGACGGUACCUAACGAGAAAGUCACGGCUAACUACGUGCCAGCAGCCGCGGUAAUACGUAGGUGGCAAGCGUUGUCCGGAAUUAUUGGGCGUAAAGCGCGCGCAGGCGGUUCCUUAAGUCUGAUGUGAAAGCCCACGGCUCAACCGUGGAGGGUCAUUGGAAACUGGGGGACUUGAGUGCAGAAGAGGAGAGCGGAAUUCCACGUGUAGCGGUGAAAUGCGUAGAGAUGUGGAGGAACACCAGUGGCGAAGGCGGCUCU
Molecule: ribosomal RNA, 648 nt
Filed under: uncultured Bacillaceae bacterium
Lineage: Bacteria; Bacillati; Bacillota; Bacilli; Caryophanales; Bacillaceae
Description: bacterial SSU rRNA
Rfam family: Bacterial small subunit ribosomal RNA
Source: RNAcentral